UACGAAGGGGGCUAGCGUUGUUCGGAUUUACUGGGCGUAAAGCGCAUGUAGGCGGGUCGCUAAGUUAGGGGUGAAAUCCCAAGGCUCAACCUUGGAACUGCCUCUAAGACUGGCGACCUGGAGCAGAAGAGAGGCGAGUGGAAUUCCGAGUGUAGAGGUGAAAUUCGUAGAUAUUCGGAGGAACACCAGUGGCGAAGGCGACUCGCUGGCUUCUUGCUGACGCUGAGAUGCGAAAGCGUGGGGAGCAAACAGG
This 253-nucleotide ribosomal RNA is filed under the name uncultured bacterium. RNAcentral's name for it is "partial 16S ribosomal RNA". It matches the Rfam family "Bacterial small subunit ribosomal RNA", at positions 524 to 776 of the family's 1533-position model. The record is from RNAcentral.